This 254-nucleotide ribosomal RNA is filed under the name uncultured bacterium. RNAcentral's name for it is "partial 16S ribosomal RNA". It matches the Rfam family "Bacterial small subunit ribosomal RNA", at positions 524 to 776 of the family's 1533-position model. The record is from RNAcentral.
GACAGAGGGUGCGAGCGUUGUUCGGAAUUACUGGGCGUAAAGCGCGCGCAGGCGGAUCCUGCAAGUCGGAAGUGAAAUGUGGCUGCUCAACGGCCACGCUGCUUCCGAUACUGCGGAUCUGGGGACCGGUAGAGGCUGGUGGAAUUGCAGGUGUAGCGGUGGAAUGCGUAGAGAUCUGCAAGAACACCCGUGGCGAAGGCGGCCAGCUGGGCCGGAUCCGACGCUGAGGCGCGAAAGCUAGGGGAGCAAACGGG